GGGCUGGGGGUCAAACCUGCAACCCAGGUACGUGCCCUUGACCAGGAAUUGAGCCCGAGACCUUUUGGAGCGCAGCCGAUGCCCUAACCACUGAGCCACCGGCCAGGGCCAGCCGAUCUGUUUACAGAGGAGCACAGAGGGGGUCUCGACGUUCUGCCCUCCCAGGAAAUCGUGCCACGACUGGAUCGGACCCCCAGAUAAACACUCAAACCUGCGGCCCGUUCACUUCCACGUCCCCGAGGACGAGUCCGCAGCGGAACGGAAGCUCCGGGAGCUCCGGCAGGACACGCAGGAAUGGAACCAGCAGUUCUGGGCCAACCAGAACGUGACUUUCCGCAAGG
This is a long non-coding RNA of Myotis davidii, 341 nucleotides long. RefSeq lists it as uncharacterized. The transcript is spliced from 2 exons. Lineage: Eukaryota; Metazoa; Chordata; Mammalia; Chiroptera; Vespertilionidae. The record is from RefSeq and is a predicted model, not a curated record.